RNAcentral lists this ribosomal RNA (627 nucleotides) under Pectobacterium carotovorum subsp. carotovorum. Its description in RNAcentral is "bacterial SSU rRNA". It matches the Rfam family "Bacterial small subunit ribosomal RNA", at positions 160 to 781 of the family's 1533-position model. The record is from RNAcentral. Lineage: Bacteria; Pseudomonadati; Pseudomonadota; Gammaproteobacteria; Enterobacterales; Pectobacteriaceae.
AAGCUAAUACCGCAUAACGUCUUCGGACCAAAGAGGGGGACCUUCGGGCCUCUUGCCAUCAGAUGUGCCCAGAUGGGAUUAGCUAGUAGGUGAGGUAAUGGCUCACCUAGGCGACGAUCCCUAGCUGGUCUGAGAGGAUGACCAGCCACACUGGAACUGAGACACGGUCCAGACUCCUACGGGAGGCAGCAGUGGGGAAUAUUGCACAAUGGGCGCAAGCCUGAUGCAGCCAUGCCGCGUGUGUGAAGAAGGCCUUCGGGUUGUAAAGCACUUUCAGCGGGGAGGAAGGCGGUGAGGUUAAUAACCUCAUCGAUUGACGUUACCCGCAGAAGAAGCACCGGCUAACUCCGUGCCAGCAGCCGCGGUAAUACGGAGGGUGCAAGGGUUAAUCGGAAUGACUGGGCGUAAAGCGCACGCAGGCGGUUUGUUAAGUCAGAUGUGAAAUCCCCGAGCUUAACUUGGGAACUGCAUUUGAAACUGGCAAGCUAGAGUCUUGUAGAGGGGGGUAGAAUUCCAGGUGUAGCGGUGAAAUGCGUAGAGAUCUGGAGGAAUACCGGUGGCGAANGCGGCCCCCUGGACAAAGACUGACGCUCAUGUGCAAAAGCGUGGGGAGCAAACAGGACAUAG